Rana temporaria (common frog) is the source of this 189-nucleotide long non-coding RNA. RefSeq lists it as uncharacterized. The record is from RefSeq and is a predicted model, not a curated record. The transcript has 3 exons. Lineage: Eukaryota; Metazoa; Chordata; Amphibia; Anura; Ranidae.
CUGACCGGAGAGAGUUUUCCUCUUGUGAAGUUUGGAGAUCAUAUGACCAUCAAAGUGCCUCAAUAUCGCUCCCUAAAAUUUAAGGACCAGAACAGACAAAAGAUUUGUCACAUUAUCAGAAAGAUGUCUGAGCUGCUGACAGGAGAGGUUCCUAUAAGGUGUCAGGAUGUCACUGUCUAUUUCUCCAUG